RNAcentral lists this long non-coding RNA (1905 nucleotides) under Capsicum annuum. RNAcentral's name for it is "long non-coding RNA (CANN_LNC010988)". The record is from RNAcentral. Lineage: Eukaryota; Viridiplantae; Streptophyta; Magnoliopsida; Solanales; Solanaceae.
UUCAAAUAAAUACAAAUAAGUAAGAAUGGAAAAUAAAGAAAGAGUAAAAAUUGGGCCCUUUUGGACUAUUACUGGGCUAACCAGAUCUUGGGCCUAAACUGAAUGGAUUUUCAAUCCAUUUUCUCAUGUAUAUCAGCUGUAUGCAGAAGCUAUUUUUUUCCUGCGUUUUUGUAUAUCUAAUGUAUAUCAUACUGUAUAUCAGCCAUAUAUGCGUAUAUUUUAGUCUUCCACCUGUACACCAACUUCACCUCCCGUUUUUGACUGUAUAUCCUAUGUAUACUGCUGUAUAUCUGUGCAUACAGCUUUAUACCAGCCCAAUUUCUUCUUGCAUUAGUCCAUUUUGGACUUUUGGACUUGGUACGGGUCUUGACUCGACGCAAGUUGUGUUUGACUCGACGCACGAGGGAAGAGAGUUCGAGGGACUCAACAAAGGAGUUCAUGCAUAAAAAAAAGGUAAGGAUUAGUAUGUGAAGGAACACCACCAAUUAAGCAUUCGAAUGUGAACAAAGAAUUCAAGCAAAUUAGACACUCUCCAAACAUGACAAAAGAGGUAUUUUAUGAUAGUGAGUAUAAACUUUCAAACUCCUUAGUAUCCUCAAAUUGAUUAAUUUCCAUAGGCGACGACUUUGGAAGAAGGAAAAUUUCUAUGUGAUUUAUCCCCAAAGGCCAAAAACAAACAAUUCCACUCCAAUUUAGUCAUUUCACAUAAAAAAAGCCAAUUAUUCAAAGCCAAUAUGAAUAGGAGAGAUACUUAAAAGGAGAACCAACCAACUUCUAGUGGCAUGCAAUUCAAAAUUGGAAACAAGGCAAGGAAAAUUUCACAUUUUUCAUCUAAUAAGGACACACUAAGAUUUUGACUCCAUUAUUAUUUUUAAACAAAUAAGCACCAAAGAAAGACUAAUGCGGUUGGAGGCUAGGAGAAUCGUUCUAAUGUAUACAAGAACGUAGCAAAAUCUAUAGCAAUUAAGAGUCAUAUUGGAUCAAGUCAACAUCAGCAACUAACCACACAUCACUUUCAACAAGAGCAGGAUUCAAAUUUUCUUAAGAGCUGCACUUUAAGACAACAAGAUUCAAGCCUUAUCAAACUGUGAAAUAGAAGAUGCUUGCGCACAGGACAAAACUAGCAAAAGAAAGGCGCAGCAACAACCCGAACCCAGACCAGUUAUACAACCGUACUUCAACAUCUAAAACAGGGUUUUUGAGACGGAAAUAGGCUUAUCAUGAAGUUCAGUUCUUUAUUUUUCUAAUGAGCGAGAAACAGUAUCACACACGAUAUCAUCAACGAGUGUGGAAAAAUUCCAUAAAGAAAAAAAACAAAUCUAUUAAGUACUCCCUCCAUUCCAAAUUAUAUCGUCAUUUUCUUUUUGGUCCGUCUCAAAAUGAAUGUACCUUUAAGCUCUUAAAAACACAAUUACAAUUUUACCUUUAGUGAUCCCAUUUAACUUUAAAUACUAUUAUUUCUUUUUUUAUUUAUUUUUCAAUUAAAAAUGAUUCCACUUGAUUUUAAAUACUAUUAUUUUUUUUUAAGAAAAGUAAUUUUAAACUUUAACCAAAUCAAUACUUAUUUCUUAAAUAUCGUGUUCGAUCAAAUGGCGACACAUGAUUUGAGACGGAGGGAGUAUAAAGUUUCUCAAUUACAUGGUGGUAUGUUAACUUGGGACACUUAAACCACGAAAGGCUCCGCUCAACCGCAAACAUGCACACAAACAAGACCAUACCAUUCCCAAGGUUACUGUGAUAUCCAUGAUUCAAUGUUUAAGCAUAAAAGGAAACCGAAGAUAGAAAAGAAGGGUUAUUUACCUGUUUUGGUGCAGGAACAGGGACAAACGGGCUUAACGACCGAACUUCCACCACCUAAGAUCGAUUCCGAUCACUAGAAUUUCAACAAAUCGAUAAAUUUUGAUU